GAGACUAUAAUGCAAGUCGAACGAACUUCCGUUAAUUGAUUAUGACGUACUUGUACUGAUUGAGAUUUUAACACGAAGUGAGUGGCGAACGGGUGAGUAACACGUGGGUAACCUGCCCAGAAGUAGGGGAUAACACCUGGAAACAGAUGCUAAUACCGUAUAACAGAGAAAACCGCAUGGUUUUCUUUUAAAAGAUGGCUCUGCUAUCACUUCUGGAUGGACCCGCGGCGUAUUAGCUAGUUGGUGAGGUAAAGGCUCACCAAGGCAGUGAUACGUAGCCGACCUGAGAGGGUAAUCGGCCACAUUGGGACUGAGACACGGCCCAGACUCCUACGGGAGGCAGCAGUAGGGAAUCUUCCACAAUGGACGCAAGUCUGAUGGAGCAACGCCGCGUGAGUGAAGAAGGGUUUCGGCUCGUAAAGCUCUGUUGUUAAAGAAGAACGUGGGUAAGAGUAACUGUUUACCCAGUGACGGUAUUUAACCAGAAAGCCACGGCUAACUACGUGCCAGCAGCCGCGGUAAUACGUAGGUGGCAAGCGUUAUCCGGAUUUAUUGGGCGUAAAGCGAGCGCAGGCGGUCUUUUAAGUCUAAUGUGAAAGCCUUCGGCUCAACCGAAGAAGUGCAUUGGAAACUGGGAGACUUGAGUGCAGAAGAGGACAGUGGAACUCCAUGUGUAGCGGUGAAAUGCGUAGAUAUAUGGAAGAACACCAGUGGCGAAGCGGCUGUCUGGUCUGCAACUGACGCUGAGCUCGAAAGCAUGGGUAGCGAACAGGAUUAGAUACCCUGGUAGUCCAUGCCGUAAACGAUGAUUACUAAGUGUUGGAGGGUUUCCGCCCUUCAGUGCUGCAGCUAACGCAUUAAGUAAUCCGCCUGGGGAGUACGACCGCAAGGUUGAAACUCAAAAGAAUUGACGGGGG
This 917-nucleotide ribosomal RNA is filed under the name Pediococcus pentosaceus. RNAcentral's name for it is "bacterial SSU rRNA". It matches the Rfam family "Bacterial small subunit ribosomal RNA", at positions 46 to 919 of the family's 1533-position model. Lineage: Bacteria; Bacillati; Bacillota; Bacilli; Lactobacillales; Lactobacillaceae. The record is from RNAcentral.